GAUGAACGCUGGCGGCGUGCCUAAUACAUGCAAGUCGAGCGAACAGAUAAGGAGCUUGCUCCUUUGACGUUAGCGGCGGACGGGUGAGUAACACGUGGGUAACCUACCUAUAAGACUGGGAUAACUUCGGGAAACCGGAGCUAAUACCGGAUAAUAUUUCGAACCGCAUGGUUCGAUAGUGAAAGAUGGCUUUGCUAUCACUUAUAGAUGGACCCGCGCCGUAUUAGUUAGUUGGUAAGGUAACGGCUUACCAAGGCGACGAUACGUAGCCGACCUGAGAGGGUGAUCGGCCACACUGGCACUGAGACACGGUCCAGACUCCUACGGGAGGCAGCAGUAGGGAAUCUUCCGCAAAGGGCGAAAGCCUGACGGAGCAACGCCGCGUGAGUGAUGAAGGUCUUCGGAUCGUAAAACUCUGUUAUUAGGGAAGAACAUACGUGUAAGUAACUGUGCACGUCUUGACGGUACCUAAUCAGAAAGCCACGGCUAACUACGUG
Molecule: ribosomal RNA, 497 nt
Filed under: uncultured bacterium
Lineage: Bacteria
Description: partial 16S ribosomal RNA
Rfam family: Bacterial small subunit ribosomal RNA
Source: RNAcentral